CGAUGAACCACUUCGGUGGGGAUUAGUGGCGAACGGGUGAGUAACACGUGGGCAAUCUGCCCUGCACUCUGGGACAAGCCCUGGAAACGGGGUCUAAUACCGGAUACGAGUUCCACGGGCAUCCGUGGGACUGGAAAGCUCCGGCGGUGCAGGAUGAGCCCGCGGCCUAUCAGCUUGUUGGUGAGGUAAUGGCUCACCAAGGCGACGACGGGUAGCCGGCCUGAGAGGGCGACCGGCCACACUGGGACUGAGACACGGCCCAGACUCCUACGGGAGGCAGCAGUGGGGAAUAUUGCACAAUGGGCGCAAGCCUGAUGCAGCGACGCCGCGUGAGGGAUGACGGCCUUCGGGUUGUAAACCUCUUUCAGCAGGGAAGAAGCGAAAGUGACGGUACCUGCAGAAGAAGCGCCGGCUAACUACGUGCCAGCAGCCGCGGUAAUACGUAGGGCGCAAGCGUUGUCCGGAAUUAUUGGGCGUAAAGAGCUCGUAGGCGGCUUGUCGCGUCGGUUGUGAAAGCCCGGGGCUUAACCCCGGGUCUGCAGUCGAUACGGGCAGGCUAGAGUUCGGUAGGGGAGAUCGGAAUUCCUGGUGUAGCGGUGAAAUGCGCAGAUAUCAGGAGGAACACCGGUGGCGAAGGCGGAUCUCUGGGCCGAUACUGACGCUGAGGAGCGAAAGCGUGGGGAGCGAACAGGAUUAGAUACCCUGGUAGUCCACGCCGUAAACGGUGGGCACUAGGUGUGGGCAACAUUCCACGUUGUCCGUGCCGCAGCUAACGCAUUAAGUGCCCCGCCUGGGGAGUAC
RNAcentral lists this ribosomal RNA (801 nucleotides) under Streptomyces sp. Its description in RNAcentral is "bacterial SSU rRNA". It matches the Rfam family "Bacterial small subunit ribosomal RNA", at positions 67 to 883 of the family's 1533-position model. The record is from RNAcentral. Lineage: Bacteria; Bacillati; Actinomycetota; Actinomycetes; Kitasatosporales; Streptomycetaceae.